RNAcentral lists this long non-coding RNA (489 nucleotides) under Mustela putorius furo (domestic ferret). RNAcentral's name for it is "lncRNA (ENSMPUG00000029800.1)". The record is from RNAcentral. Lineage: Eukaryota; Metazoa; Chordata; Mammalia; Carnivora; Mustelidae.
CUCGAAUUGGGUCUCCCUACUAAUCUACACAAGUCUGGUGUCAUAAUUAACCAGGGGAAAGAAAGAGAAACUUCCCAGUAAAGAUGCUUGGCACUGUUGUGGGAAAUAUCACAGCGGAUCUGUCCUAUAGCACAAAGCCUGUGAUUCCACCAAGUGAGCACAGCCCGUCCCGGCCGCCUGACAGUGACGUGAGAGACGGGUUCCAGGUGCCAUGGCCACGGAUUGUUGAAGAGGCAACACGGGGGCUCCAGUAAGGUGUCAGACCUGGAUGUGGGUGGCCAAAACUCUGACACCGAGGGGAAGAAAGCCAUCUUACAAUUUUCAGAGACCAGAGCAGCGAGGAAAUGAGGAAUCCAGGCAGGCAAGAAAAUCCAAUCAUGUUUCUAGCAACUAUGAGAAGAUUAUAUCCAGAAGGAUGAUGAAGACAGAGGAAGACAAUCAGAUUGGAUGUCACCUCAGCAAGCAUCAAACCCCAUAAAAUCAGAAAGC